CGCCUCUUGUCUUAAAUAAGAGGUCUAGCCUGCCCAGUGACUCUAGUUCAACGGCCGCGGUAUACUGACCGUGCAAAGGUAGCGUAAUCACUUGUUUUUUAAAUGAAGACUAGUAUGAAAGGCACCACGAGGAUCAAACUGUCUCCUUUUUCUAAUCUGUGAAACUAAUCUUCCCGUGAAAAAACGGGAAUCUUGAUAUAAGACGAGAAGACCCUAUGGAGCUUCAAACUAUAGUAACUGCUUUAUAAUAUUUUGUACAUCUUUACUGUACGUUUUGGGUUGGGGUGACCGCGGAGUAAAACUUACCCUCCAUGCUGAAAAGAGACCUCCUUUAAACAAAGAGCUUCAACUCGAUGCAUCAACAAAUUGACAGCAAUUGACCCAUUUUUGAUCAACGAAACAAGUUACCCUAGGGAUAACAGCGCAAUCCACUUUGAAAGCCCCUAUCGACAAGUGGGUUUACGACCUCGAUGUUGGAUCAGGAUAUCCAAGUGGUGCAGCCGCUACUAAAGGUUCGUUUGUUCAACGAUUUAAAUCCUACGUGAUCUGAGU
This 552-nucleotide ribosomal RNA is filed under the name Ischnocnema juipoca (Souzas robber frog). Its description in RNAcentral is "partial 16S ribosomal RNA". It matches the Rfam family "Bacterial large subunit ribosomal RNA", at positions 1819 to 2610 of the family's 2925-position model. Lineage: Eukaryota; Metazoa; Chordata; Amphibia; Anura; Brachycephalidae. The record is from RNAcentral.